RNAcentral lists this transfer RNA (72 nucleotides) under Ipomoea nil (Japanese morning glory). It matches the Rfam family "tRNA". From Rfam's summary of the family: Transfer RNA (tRNA) molecules are approximately 80 nucleotides in length. Their secondary structure includes four short double-helical elements and three loops (D, anti-codon, and T loops). Lineage: Eukaryota; Viridiplantae; Streptophyta; Magnoliopsida; Solanales; Convolvulaceae. The record is from Rfam by way of RNAcentral.
GGAUUCGUGGCGCAGUGGUAGUGUGUUUGACUUCAGAUUAGAAGGUUGCGUGUUCAAUUCAUGUUGAGUUCA